RNAcentral lists this long non-coding RNA (1823 nucleotides) under Papio anubis (olive baboon). RNAcentral's name for it is "lncRNA (ENSPANG00000043075.1)". Lineage: Eukaryota; Metazoa; Chordata; Mammalia; Primates; Cercopithecidae. The record is from RNAcentral.
GUGGCAGGUGGGGAGCCCUUUGCCCUUCUGAUGAAGUUAAACCAUAGAAGUUUGCAAUUUGCCUUUCACAAACAUUAGCAGGCCGGGCCUGGUGGCUGAAGCCUGUGAUCCCAGCAUGUUGGGAGGCCGAGUGGGAGGAUUGUCUGAGCCUGGGAGUUUAAGACCAGCCUGGGCACAAUGAGGCAGGGUUUCAUCACAUUGCCCAGCCUGGUCUCGAAUUCCUGGACUCAAGUGAUCCUCCCACUUCAGCCUCCCAAAAUUCUGGGUACAGACAUGAGCCACUGUUCCCAGCCUGCCUGCUUCCCUUUGCCUUCGCCCCAUGAUUGUAAGUUUCCUGAGGCCUCCCCAGAAGCAGACGCAUGUACAAUCCGCAGAACCAUGAGCCCAUUAAACCUCUGUCUUUUUUAUAAAUUACCCAGUCUCAGGUAUGUCUUUACAGCAUGUGAGAACAGACUAAUACAACACCUAAAUGCAGAUUUCCAUUUGCUUUUGGUUUUAAAGCUCAGCUUCCUUUUAGUUUAUAUGUAAAGCCUCUAUGUGGCCUAAUCUUUCAUUCAGUAGCAACUCACUAUUACUAUACUAGGUGCUCUGGUACAUGCUGUAGUGGUAUUAGUAUAUACUAGUACGUACUCUGCUGGUAUACAUGGUACAUAUUGUACUGGUACAUACUGUGCCAGAUACUAUGAAUACAAAGAUGAAUAAGACAUAGUCCCUGACCUGGAAGAGCUCGGUCUAGUGGGGACACUGACAUGCGUAGAGGAGAAGACCAAGCUUCCCUUUCACUCUUUCUGAAGGCUCAUUGAAAAUAAACUGACAAAAAGCAGACUAACAGGAGAAAACGGCAUACAAACUUUAUUUAAUGUGCAUAAGCAUGAGAGGACCUCAGGAGAAUGAUUACUCAAUAAUCCAAUGAGGUCCAGAUGUUUAUAUACCCUUCUUCAUAGAGGAAGAGGAGAUGGUGGGCAGGGGGGUAUAGGAAUAAAAGAUUUUUAGAGGAAAUGAAUGAGCUCCAAGAACAAUGGCCUGGAAGAAAGUUAUUUUGAACUCUGGGGGAGGUGGCAGGAAGAUGAGGGGCAGAACUUAACUGUGAGCAAAGAUUAUCUUAUAUAGAUAAUAUCUCCCAGGUAAUCCUCUUGGAGCUGCACUCAGAAGAAUAAAUGAAAAGCCAGAUCGGGCACAGUGGCUCAUGCCUAUAAUCCCAGCAUCUUGGGAGGCCGAGGCGGGUGGAUCACCUGAGGUCAGGAGUUUGAGACCAACCUGGCCAACAUGGAGAAACCCUAUCUCUACUAAAAAUAGAAAAAUUAAUCAGGCAUGGUGGCAGGCACCUGUAAUUUCAGCUACUCCGGAGGCUGAGGCAGGAGAAUCACUUGAACGUGGGAGGCAGAGGUUGCAGUGAGUGGAGAUCAUGCCACCGCACUCCAGCCUGGGUGACAGAGUGAGACUCUGUCUCAAAAAACAAAAAUAAACAAAACAGAGAAAAGCCUGUCUGGACAUAGUGACAACUCUCAGUGUCUUAUCUUUUUGGUGGUUAACCUUUUCUGGUUAUUUGAUGAGAUUCCUAGAAAGGGGAAUCACUGCUUUUUUUCUUUUUCUUUUUUUCUUUUUUUUGGAAAGAAGCUUCCCUACUCACAAAAGAAUGUUCCAGAGUCCUUCCAGAUGCUUCAGGAAAGGAAGAAGGUCAGAGAGAUGGGGAAGCUGAGGAAGGUCAGAGAGAUCUGUUGGUUCUGAGGCUUAUUUCUGAGACCUUUUAAUAUUCCUUAAUUCAAAGCACUCAGCAUGCCAAAGUGCCAUGUUUUACAAUUUCGUUUUCUAAGCCCUAACUU